AUUGCAGUGACUGAUUUUUCUCCUUUAAUGGUUCAGAGAACAGCUCACGCCAACACUCCCCCUCAAGUUGGUACGUAAAUAUCAAUAAGUCCCAACUUGUCUAGUGAGUGAUGGAAUAUUUUACUGCUCACAGCUUUUGUAAGAAUAUCGGCCAGUUGGUCUUCGGAUUUCACAAAAGGGAAUUGGAUAAUCUUUGCAUC
Molecule: long non-coding RNA, 200 nt
Filed under: Vitis vinifera (wine grape)
Lineage: Eukaryota; Viridiplantae; Streptophyta; Magnoliopsida; Vitales; Vitaceae
Description: long non-coding RNA (VVIN_LNC007025)
Source: RNAcentral